UGAACGCUAGCGGCAGGCUUAAUACAUGCAAGUCGAGGGGCAUCAAGGUACACGAAAGUGUAUUGUUGGCGACCGGCGGACGGGUGAGUAAUAGGUAGGUAACCUACCUCAUACUGAGGCAUAGCUGGGAGAAAUUCCAGGUAAUUCCUCAUGAGGUUAUAUGACACAUGUGAUAUAAUCAAAGGUAUCGCAAGGUACUGGUAUGAGAUGGGCUUACUGACCAUUAGCUAGUUGGUGAGAUAAGAGCUCACCAAGGCGAAGAUGGUUAGGGGUUUUGAGAGAGAGAUCCCCCACAUUGGAACUGAGAUACGGUCCAGACUCCUACGGGAGGCAGCAGUAGGGAGUAUUGGGCAAUGGGCGGAAGCCUGACCCAGCCAUGCCGCGUGAAGGAAGACGGCCUUAUGGGUUGUAAACUUCUUUACUAUGCGACUAACUAGAUUUACGAGAUAAUUCUAUAGAAUGUAGCAUAGCAAAAAGCACCGGCUAACUCCGUG
This 494-nucleotide ribosomal RNA is filed under the name uncultured bacterium. Its description in RNAcentral is "bacterial SSU rRNA". It matches the Rfam family "Bacterial small subunit ribosomal RNA", at positions 30 to 507 of the family's 1533-position model. The record is from RNAcentral.